This 343-nucleotide long non-coding RNA is filed under the name Brassica napus (rape). Its description in RNAcentral is "long non-coding RNA (BNAP_LNC008859)". Lineage: Eukaryota; Viridiplantae; Streptophyta; Magnoliopsida; Brassicales; Brassicaceae. The record is from RNAcentral.
UAAACCUCGAUAUGUGACCUUCAUCUCUAAUAUGAGACAAGGCCGUUAUGUCCAAAAGCUUAACCCCUGUGCCUUUCACCGCAUGACCCGCGCUGUAAUCGCUAGACUCCUCUUGCAAAACCUCUUUCCCGAUAGACAUUGGCGUCGUGUUAUUACAGCUCCCUCCCGUGUUCCACUCCCCUCAUUCCCUAUAGACAUUGGCGUUGUGUUAUUACAGCUCCCUCCAGUGUUCCAUUCCCCUCCAACGAAAUGUCUUGGGGAAAGGCUUCUGUAGAACGCCUUGAGACCAGGAUGGUGAGGAAGCUGAGAGCUAACCCAACUAACCGUGCUGUGGAUUGUGAAG